AUAUAUAUAUAUAUGACAAACCAUUUGCAUUUGGUGAAAUAACCACCAAAUGCAAAUGUGACGACAGCUUUAGGACACUUUUGAGGAAGGAAGUCCCAUCUGGUCUUAGCCAUCUUGGUCUAAUCUAAACUAACUAAUCUAAAGUUAUACAAAAUGAAGACAGUAAAAGAAUAAUGCAGCACAUGUCCAAUUACUACCCGCUUUUACAGAGAUUGUGAACUAUCCCUUUAACAGUCAUCCGCACUUGUGGUUGUCGGUUUAUGUCUGACUUCUGGUGAUUAUAGGAGCAAUUAACUUUAUCCAGGAUCUAAUCUAGCCUGCAGCUGCGGAGCACUUAUAGCUAUUAAACGUUUACGAUGAAGUUGUAGAAGCUAAAAGAAUCGAAACGCGUUUUUUGAAUUUCCUUUUGACACAUAAACCACCUAACUCAAAACAUAAAUAACAAAUGAAAUAAGAAAUGAGCUGCCAACCAGCCAGUAGCGAUGAUCCAAUGUUUCUAUUUUUUUUUCUAGCUAUAACUAUCCUUCAACUUAUAGUUAAUGCGGUUUAAACGACUUGUGCUCUAAAUUUAAUAUGCUGAGCGCGAAUGCAGCGCCACCGCGAUCAGAUCGCUACAAUGCCAAAAUUUGGUACAUAAAAAAAAAAAAUACACAUCACUUUUCUUUAAUCCCUGUAACUUCUUUUCAAACACACUUUUUUUUUUGGCAUUAAAACAUCUCCCUGUCUGUGUUACAUUCAGCUUCCUGUUUCCUCACUUGAGCAGAAAAAGCCGCUAUUUCUUUUCACCAACCAGGAAAUGUUGACAAAACGUGAGCGAAACUAAUAAAAGUGGAGGUAAAUGUACAAAAAAAAAAAAAAAAAGAAUAAAGAAUAAAAACCCAAAUCUCAC
Molecule: long non-coding RNA, 889 nt
Organism: Xiphophorus couchianus (Monterrey platyfish)
Lineage: Eukaryota; Metazoa; Chordata; Actinopteri; Cyprinodontiformes; Poeciliidae
Exons: 2
Source: RefSeq, a predicted model, not a curated record